RNAcentral lists this ribosomal RNA (699 nucleotides) under bacterium 78-L049660-122-017-F10. RNAcentral describes it as "bacterial SSU rRNA". It matches the Rfam family "Bacterial small subunit ribosomal RNA", at positions 60 to 748 of the family's 1533-position model. The record is from RNAcentral.
AGUCGAACGGUAGCACAGAAGAGCUUGCUCUUCGGGUGACGAGUGGCGGACGGGUGAGUAAUGUCUGGGGAUCUGCCCGAUAGAGGGGGAUAACCACUGGAAACGGUGGCUAAUACCGCAUAACGUCGCAAGACCAAAGAGGGGGACCUUCGGGCCUCUCACUAUCGGAUGAACCCAGAUGGGAUUAGCUAGUAGGUGGGGUAACGGCUCACCUAGGCGACGAUCCCUAGCUGGUCUGAGAGGAUGACCAGCCACACUGGAACUGAGACACGGUCCAGACUCCUACGGGAGGCAGCAGUGGGGAAUAUUGCACAAUGGGCGCAAGCCUGAUGCAGCCAUGCCGCGUGUAUGAAGAAGGCCUUCGGGUUGUAAAGUACUUUCAGCGGGGAGGAAGGGAGCGAGGUUAAUAACCUCGUUCAUUGACGUUACCCGCAGAAGAAGCACCGGCUAACUCCGUGCCAGCAGCCGCGGUAAUACGGAGGGUGCAAGCGUUAAUCGGAAUUACUGGGCGUAAAGCGCACGCAGGCGGUCUGCUAAGUCAGAUGUGAAAUCCCCGGGCUUAACCUGGGAACUGCAUUUGAAACUGGCAGGCUAGAGUCUUGUAGAGGGGGGUAGAAUUCCAGGUGUAGCGGUGAAAUGCGUAGAGAUCUGGAGGAAUACCGGUGGCGAAGGCGGCCCCCUGGACAAAGACUGACGCUC